This 253-nucleotide ribosomal RNA is filed under the name uncultured bacterium. Its description in RNAcentral is "partial 16S ribosomal RNA". It matches the Rfam family "Bacterial small subunit ribosomal RNA", at positions 524 to 776 of the family's 1533-position model. The record is from RNAcentral.
UACGAAGGGUGCAAACGUUGCUCGGAAUUAUUGGGCGUAAAGGGCGCGUAGGCGGCAUGGUAAGUCAAAGGUGAAAUCCCUCGGCUCAACUGAGGAAUUGCCUUUGAAACUGCCAAGCUUGAGGCCGGGAGGGGGUAGCGGAAUUCCCAGUGUAGCGGUGAAAUGCGUAGAUACUGGGAGGAACACCGGUGGCGAAGGCGGCUACCUGGACCGGAUCUGACGCUGAUGCGCGAAAGCGUGGGGAGCAAACAGG